AGGGGAUUAGUGUAACGGUAGCACGACUGAUUCUGGUUCAGUUAGUACAGGUUCAAAUCCUGUAUCCCCUG
RNAcentral lists this transfer RNA (71 nucleotides) under Planctomycetota bacterium. RNAcentral's name for it is "Planctomycetes bacterium tRNA-Gln". It matches the Rfam family "tRNA". Rfam says of the family: Transfer RNA (tRNA) molecules are approximately 80 nucleotides in length. RNAcentral also lists the same sequence under 2 other names. Lineage: Bacteria; Pseudomonadati; Planctomycetota. The record is from RNAcentral.